GAACGCACAUUGCGCCCGCCAGCAUUCUGGCGGGCAUGCCUGUUCGAGCGUCAUUUCAACCCUCGAGCUCGUCUUCAUUGACGAGAUCGGUGUUGGGGAACGGCAAAGCGGGACACAGUCCGGCGCCGACCCCGAAAUUCAGUGGCGGCCCGUUGCGGCGACCUCUGCGUAGUAACUUAACCUCGCACUGGAAGAGCAGCGUGGCCACGCCGUAAAACCCCCGACUUUUUUAAGGUUGACCUCGAAUCAGGUAGGACUACCCGCUGAACUUAAG
Molecule: unclassified non-coding RNA, 274 nt
Filed under: uncultured Cordycipitaceae
Lineage: Eukaryota; Fungi; Ascomycota; Sordariomycetes; Hypocreales; Cordycipitaceae
Description: sequence contains 5.8S rRNA gene
Rfam family: 5.8S ribosomal RNA (bases 1-53)
Source: RNAcentral